Molecule: ribosomal RNA, 289 nt
Filed under: uncultured bacterium
Lineage: Bacteria
Description: partial 16S ribosomal RNA
Rfam family: Bacterial small subunit ribosomal RNA
Source: RNAcentral
GUGGAUUAGAUACCCUGGUAGUCCUAGCCCUAAACGAUCAGGACUUGGGGUGCCGCCCGUUCGGGCGUCGUCCCGGAGCUAACGCGUUAAGUCCUGCACCUGGGGAGUACGGUCGCAAGACUGAAACUCAAAGGAAUUGACGGGGGCCCGCACAAGCGGUGGAACAUGUGGUUCAAUUCGACGCUACGCGAGGAACCUUACCUGGGCUCGAAAUGCUAGUGACCAGCUUUAGAAAUAUUGCCUUCCCGCAAGGGACACUAGUAUAGGCGCUGCACGGUUGUCGCCAGCU